This 937-nucleotide ribosomal RNA is filed under the name uncultured bacterium. Its description in RNAcentral is "bacterial SSU rRNA". It matches the Rfam family "Bacterial small subunit ribosomal RNA", at positions 28 to 980 of the family's 1533-position model. The record is from RNAcentral.
GACGAACGCUGGCGGUGCGCUAAUGCAUGCAAGUCGAACGAGCGACCCGGGCUUGCCCGGUUAGCUAGUGGCAGACGGCUGAGUAACACGUAAGUAAUUUGCCCCGAAGAGGGGGAUAAUCCAGAGAAAUCUGGCCUAAUACCCCGUACCUUUCUUUCCGGCCUGCCGGAUUGAAAGAAAGGCUCCGGCGCUUUGGGAGAAGCUUGCGGCUUAUCAGGUAGUUGGUGGGGUAAUGGCCUACCAAGCCGAAGACGAGUAACCGGUGUGAGAGCACGAUCGGUCAGAGGGGGACUGAGACACGGCCCCCACUCCUACGGGAGGCAGCAGCAGGGAAUCUUGCGCAAUGGGCGAAAGCCUGACGCAGCGACACCGCGUGGAGGAUGAAGGUUUUAGGAUUGUAAACUCCUUUUAUCAGGGAAGAGAAAGGACGGUACCUGAUGAAUAAGGUUCGGCUAACUACGUGCCAGCAGCCGCGGUAAUACGUAGGAACCGAGCGUUGUCCGGAUUUACUGGGCGUAAAGAGCGCGUAGGUGGUUUGUUAAGUCUCAUGUGUAAUCUCCCGGCUCAACUGGGAGGGGUCAUGGGAUACUGGCAGGCUUGAGGGUAGCAGAGGAAAGCGGAAUUCCCGGAGUAGUGGUGAAAUGCGUAGAUACCGGGAGGAACACCAGAGGCGAAGGCGGCUUUCUGGGCUAUUCCUGACACUGAGGCGCGAAAGCGUGGGGAGCGAACCGGAUUAGAUACCCGGGUAGUCCACGCCGUAAACGAUGGGUACUAGACAUUGGGGGUAUAGACCCCUCCAGUGUCGAAGCUAACGCGAUAAGUAUCCCGCCUGGGGAGUACGGCCGCAAGGCUAAAACUCAAAGGAAUUGACGGGGACCCGCACAAGCAGCGGAGCGUGUGGUUUAAUUCGAUGCAAAGCGAAAAACCUUACCCAGAC